RNAcentral lists this ribosomal RNA (460 nucleotides) under uncultured bacterium. RNAcentral's name for it is "partial 16S ribosomal RNA". It matches the Rfam family "Bacterial small subunit ribosomal RNA", at positions 338 to 795 of the family's 1533-position model. The record is from RNAcentral.
CCUACGGGUGGCAGCAGUGAGGAAUAUUGGUCAAUGGGCGCUAGCCUGAACCAGCCAAGUAGCGUGAAGGAUGACUGCCCUAUGGGUUGUAAACUUCUUUUAUAUGGGAAUAAAGUGCAGUACGUAUACUGCUUUGCAUGUACCUUAUGAAUAAGGAUUGGCUAACUCCGUGCCAGCAGCCGCGGUAAUACGGAGGAUCCGAGCGUUAUCCGGAUUUAUUGGGUUUAAAGGGAGCGUAGGCGGGUUGUUAAGUCAGUGGUGAAAGUUCGCGGCUCAACCGUAGAAUUGCAGUGGAUACUGGCUUGCUUGAGAACAGUAGAGGUAGGCGGAAUUCGUGGUGUAGCGGUGAAAUGCUUAGAUAUUACGCAGAACUCCGAUUGCGAAGGCAGCAUGCUGGACUGUAACUGACGCUGAUGCUCGAAAGUGUGGGUAUCGAACAGGAUUAGAUACCCGAGUAGUC